This 358-nucleotide ribosomal RNA is filed under the name Wolbachia endosymbiont of Glossina pallidipes. RNAcentral describes it as "bacterial SSU rRNA". It matches the Rfam family "Bacterial small subunit ribosomal RNA", at positions 992 to 1347 of the family's 1533-position model. Lineage: Bacteria; Pseudomonadati; Pseudomonadota; Alphaproteobacteria; Rickettsiales; Anaplasmataceae. The record is from RNAcentral.
UCAUACCUAUUUGAAGGGAUAGGGUCGGUUCGGCCGGGUUUCACACAGGUGUUGCAUGGCUGUCGUCAGCUCGUGUCGUGAGAUGUUGGGUUAAGUCCCGCAACGAGCGCAACCCUCAUCCUUAGUUACCAUCAGGUAAUGCUGGGGACUUUAAGGAAACUGCCAGUGAUAAACUGGAGGAAGGUGGGGAUGAUGUCAAGUCAUCAUGGCCCUUAUGGAGUGGGCUACACACGUGCUACAAUGGUGGCUACAAUGGGCUGCAAAGUCGCGAGGCUAAGCUAAUCCCUUAAAAGCCAUCUCAGUUCGGAUUGUACUCUGCAACUCGAGUGCAUGAAGUUGGAAUCGCUAGUAAUCGUGG